CACACCGCCCGUCACAUCACGAAAGUGGACCAUACUAGAAGCAGGUGGGGCCAACCCGCAAGGGGGCAGCCUUCCAAGGUAUAGUUCAUGAUUUGGGGUGUAAG
RNAcentral lists this ribosomal RNA (104 nucleotides) under uncultured bacterium. RNAcentral's name for it is "partial 16S ribosomal RNA". The record is from RNAcentral.